RNAcentral lists this transfer RNA (86 nucleotides) under Chlorobiaceae bacterium. RNAcentral's name for it is "tRNA-Leu". It matches the Rfam family "tRNA". Rfam says of the family: Transfer RNA (tRNA) molecules are approximately 80 nucleotides in length. Their secondary structure includes four short double-helical elements and three loops (D, anti-codon, and T loops). The record is from RNAcentral. Lineage: Bacteria; Pseudomonadati; Chlorobiota; Chlorobiia; Chlorobiales; Chlorobiaceae.
GGGUAAGUGGCGGAAUUGGCAUACGCGCUAGACUUAGGAUCUAGUCCUGAAUAAGGGUGGGGGUUCAAGUCCCCCCUUACCCACUA